UAAGGGAUAUUGGUCAAUGGGGCGGGGAGCCUGAACCAGCCAUGCCGCGUGAGGGAAUGAGGCCCUACGGGUCGUAAACCUCUUUUGCCGGGGGAUAACGGGCGCCACGUGUGGCGCCGUGAAGGUACCCGGAGAAUAAGCAUCGGCUAACUCCGUGCCAGCAGCCGCGGUAAUACGGAGGAUGCGAGCGUUAUCCGGAUUUAUUGGGUUUAAAGGGUGCGCAGGCGGGCGUCUAAGUCAGCGGUGAAAGUUCCCGGCUCAACCGGGUCAGUGCCGAUGAUACUGGGGGCCUUGAAUGCGGUCGAGGCCGGCGGAAUGUGGCGUGUAGCGGUGAAAUGCUUAGAUAUCACGAAGAACUCCGAUUGCGAAGGCAGCUCACUGGAGCGCAACUG
Molecule: ribosomal RNA, 392 nt
Filed under: uncultured bacterium
Lineage: Bacteria
Description: bacterial SSU rRNA
Rfam family: Bacterial small subunit ribosomal RNA
Source: RNAcentral